This 1224-nucleotide ribosomal RNA is filed under the name Discosoma sp. CASIZ 168915. RNAcentral's name for it is "small subunit ribosomal RNA". It matches the Rfam family "Bacterial small subunit ribosomal RNA". Lineage: Eukaryota; Metazoa; Cnidaria; Anthozoa; Corallimorpharia; Discosomidae. The record is from RNAcentral.
UGGCUUUUGUUCUUAUUUGUUAGAUAUUAGUAGGUAUACUUUUUAUUGUUUAGUGGGGUUCUGUUUAAAUAUUUUUAAAAAUCCUUUGGUUUUGGGGAACUAGGAAUAUACGUGUCUUUCUUAUACAUGCUAGUGGAUGACGGUUAAAGAGGGGACAAAACGUGCGAACAGGUGAGGAAACCCGAGAGCUAAGUUUUGGGGCGGGGCUGGAGUCGUAUUAGGUCGAAGGUGGUAUAAAAGACCACCUUGCCCAGGAUGCGUGGCUUUAAACUGGAAGCCAUCUUUUCACUGAAGCAAAGGGAGGGCUCAAAAAGGGGGCGGAAAGCUCCUGAGGCAGCAGUAUAUAACUUUAUGCAAUGUACGAAAGUGCGACAUAGAAGGGGCGUAUUACUUAAUCUGUCUAAUUAAGUGCCAGCAGACGCGGUGAAACUUAAGGAUUAGUAUUAUAGGAAAAAGCGUAAAGGGUGUGAGGGGCUUAUCCCGACAAGAGGGUAAAUGGAAUUUUUCUGUAGGGGUAGAAUGUGAAGAUAGAAAAAAGAACUCUAAACGCGAAGGCAAUUUAUCUCAUGGGAGGUACGCCAACUGCUCCGUUGUUACACGAAAAUAUGGGGAGCAAACAGGAUUAGAGACCCUGGUAUAUUGUAAAUAAUGAAGAAGAUGUGAGGCAAUCCUAAAAGGCAAUAAAUUUUUCGCUUGAGUAGUAUGAUCGCAAGAUUUAAAUUCAAAAAACUUGGCUGUUCACUGCUAUAAUCAGAGGAGCGUGUCGUUUAAUUCGAUAGUCCGCGAGAAACCUUACCCAAACUUGAAUUCGCCCAUUUAACAGGUAUUGCAUGGCCGUCGUCAAUUUGUGUAUUAAAUGUAAAACGGAUUCAACCCAGUGGUUGGCACCCCAUCGUCUUCGGAGCGUUGUCAUUAUUGGAUGAAGUCAGGUCUUAUUGUCCUAAUGUUUGGGGAUUAGAUGCGCUACAUUUUCUUAUACAAUGGGAGAUUUUGAAGGUGGAACCCUAAAGUAAGAGUUCGGGAGGUGGCUGGAAGAUAGCUGAAAGUUGUAUUUGAUAGUAAUUAGAAAGUAGAGCGUUCUGGUGAAAUUGACGCAGUAUUAGUACAAAUAGCCCGUCGUCUUGGUCAAGAAGGGUUACUCAAAUGCCCCCUGUUGUUGGGGUGUAGUGUUACUUUGAGAUGGAGUAAGUCGUAACAUAGUAAGGGUGGGGGAACUGGCUCUUG